GUGCUGUUGAAGUGAUGAGUUUCUAAUGUCUCUUCUCUGACAAUAAUAAUGGAGAGCAUAAAUACCUCUGAUCUCAGCAU
Molecule: small nucleolar RNA, 80 nt
Filed under: Hucho hucho (huchen)
Lineage: Eukaryota; Metazoa; Chordata; Actinopteri; Salmoniformes; Salmonidae
Description: Small nucleolar RNA SNORD111 (ENSHHUG00000036002.1)
Source: RNAcentral